GUGGGUAUAGUUCAAGUGGUAGAGUGCCUGCUCAGCAUGCACAAGGUCCUGGGUUCAAUCCCCAGUGCCCCCU
This 73-nucleotide transfer RNA is filed under the name Camelus bactrianus (Bactrian camel). It matches the Rfam family "tRNA". Rfam says of the family: Transfer RNA (tRNA) molecules are approximately 80 nucleotides in length. Their secondary structure includes four short double-helical elements and three loops (D, anti-codon, and T loops). Lineage: Eukaryota; Metazoa; Chordata; Mammalia; Artiodactyla; Camelidae. RNAcentral also lists the same sequence under 1 other name. The record is from Rfam by way of RNAcentral.